GCCACAGCAAAUUCAUAUCCGGUUGACCCAGUCAUGGGUAGCUCUACCAACUUUUUUUUUUUGGUGCGAAGCUCUACCAACAUUCAUCUUCAAUAGAGUUUGUUGGAACGCAGAAGUGGCCCGCCCAAAAAAAGACAGGUUUUAGGCAUGAUUUUUUGGCCUACGAUCGAGCCCGGCCUGAUUUUUGCGUAAAAGGCAAUCGAAUUUUUUUGGGGACAGGGGAAGGUAGGUGGUGGAGGAUGUAGCAGGUGGUAGGGGAAUGAAGGUGGUGGUUGUGGAUAAGUAAUAAAAAAAAGAAAAAAGAAAAAUUAGAAAUACUCCUUCUGUUUUCUAAAAAUCUUCUUCGUUUAAGUGCGUUUUCAAAAGAUUUUCAUCUUUUACUAUAUUUCUUAUUUGGAAUUUUUUUUCCCUUUUUACCCUCUCAUGUCCCUAUCAUAUGACCAACAAUUAUAUCAUUAAUUCAAUUUUACUCCCUUUCUCUUUCCUACUUUAACUCCUUUUUAUAUUUUAAUUUAUCUUAACCCCUUUCUCUCUCCUACUUUAAACACGUUACACUCCUGACAAUUGGAUUCCUCCUUGAUAUCGGUAAGAACAGUAAUAAGGAAGAUCUUUAGAAAACGGAGGGACUCGAGGAAGUAUUUAGUAAAAUCUGAACGAUUUUAUGUAAUUUUGGGAGGAUGUUUACUGGACCCUAAAGCCAUUGUAGGCGCAAUUUACCGUUGCAUUUCAGCGGUUCACGUAAUUUUCUCAUCUACUUACCAUUCACCAAUCACCAGUUGCCUCUCUUGACUGCUCUGCUCUUCCGUUAUCCAGCUUGACUUAGCCAUUGCUAUGGCCGACUCAAAAACACUUGCAGCAACAAGCAAUCCAAAACCCAUUAAAACCCUUCUUACAUCCUUGAUUUUCCAAUUAAAAAUAUGGUUACUUCCUAUAUUACUAGCAGUAGUUGUGCUCUUAUUCCAGGUUAACACCUUUGAUCCUGCACCAUUCCCUGUGCACGAGUUUACUAACCAAAGAGCAGCACCAAUAAUCGCUCCCAAAACCAACAGUCGUAUCCUUUGGAAGUCGGAGUUCAUUGGUUCAAGACAGCUUUUAGGGCCUGAAGAUAUAGCUUAUGAGCCUAAAUCAGGGAUUAUUUAUACAGGGUGUGUAGAUGGGUGGAUUAAGCGAGUUAAGCUUGGUGACUCGGUUUCAGAAUCGGUGGUUGAGGAUUGGGUCAACACUGGUGGUCGACCUCUUGGUAUUGCUAUUGCUAUUGCUAGUAGUGGAGAUCAACUUAUUGUUGCUGAUGCUCAUAAGGGACUGCUGAAAAUCACAAAGAACAAGGAAAUACAGCUACUAACUGAUGAAGCUGAAGGGCAGAAAUUCAAGUUUACAGAUGGUGUUGAUAUUGCUAAAGAUGGCACUAUUUAUUUCACAGAUGCUUCAUACAAAUAUGGGUUCCAAGAUUACUUACUUGAUAUCUUAGAAGCCAGACCUUAUGGUAGACUUCUGAGUUUCGAUCCGAAUACUAAAGAAACCAAAGUUCUUCUUCAUGAUCUCUACUUCCCAAAUGGAGUUGUCAUCUCUCCUGAUCAGAAUUCUCUUAUCUUUUGUGAAACACCUAUGAAGAGGUGCAGAACGUAUUGGAUCCGAGGUAACAGAAAGGGUGCAGUGGAUUCAUUUAUUGAUAAUCUGCCUGGCUAUCCAGACAAUAUCCAUAGCGAUGGGAAGACCAAAUAUUGGAUUGCGAUAUCCUCUUCUCUUUCGCCAUAUCUAGAGCAAGCAAAUAAAUUUCGACUAGUACGUAAGGCCAUGUCGAUGGUUGACAGAUACAUUGGCCUUCACCAUAUACAGAGGAAUGGUGGAAUUUUGGGUGUAGAUUUAGAAGGAAACGCAACAUUGCACGUCUAUGAUCGGGCUAUGUCGCUGAUAUCAAGCGGAAUCCAAAUUCAAGAUCAUCUAUAUAUUGGUUCUUUGCACUAUGCCCAUAUCAUUCGCUUCAACUUGAGCUAUUUAUAACCACUUCUCCAGCUGAAGAAGUCAUUGCAUUGAUCAUCCAAAUUGCAUUCAAUUUAGAUAGAAGAUCAUUGUCCUAAACUUCACAAAUGGGACCAAUCAGAAGCAAAAGGUCCAUGAAAAUGAUUCAGAAUGUAGGAUUAUAUAUUUUUGAAAUUCUGAUAUCAGCAUCCCAUAGCCUUAGCCCUUUCUCUAAGAAUAAACUUCUGCAUCUUUCCAGUUGCUGUCUUUGGGAUUUCCUCAAAGAUGACGCUCUUAGGAGCCAUGUAAUGAGGCAAAUGAUCACGGCAAAACUUGAUAAUUUCCUGCUCGUUAGCUUCAUAACCGUCUUUCAACUUGACAAAUGCGCAUGGUGUCUCACCCCAGUGAUUAUCUGGCCUUGCUACAACAGCAGCCUCUAGAAUAGCUGGGUGACUGUAAAGCACAGUCUCGACCUCCACUGUACUUAUAUUCUCUCCACCAGAGAUGAUAACAUCCUUCAACCGGUCCUUAAUUUCUAUGUAAUUGUCAGGGUGUUUAACUGCAAGAUCACCUGAAUGAAACCACCCUCCUUUAAAAGCUUCCUUUGUUGCUUUUGAAUCCUUCAAGUAUCCACUCAUCACCGUAUUUCCUUUGAACAUGAUCUCCCCCAUUGUUUUACCUAUUCAAAACCACAGUUAAAGAUUGUCAGUGUUCGACUUACGUACAUUCUGUGUAUUGUAUACAACAUGAUUUUAGUCACCUGAUAUUACAUAAAGCCAAUUUCAUGAAGGACUAGUUAUAUUGUAAGUCAGGAUGACAGUGAGUAGAUUCUGUUGUAUACAAUAGAACUGUAGUAUAUGUAAUUAAAAAAAUUGUAAAUAACAUUACCAUCAACUGGUACACUUUCCAUGGUGAUGGGAUCUCUGACAUCCACCUCCUCCAACCCAAGGUGUUGUACACCUUGUCUAGCUUUGAUCUUCGAUUUCUCACCGGGAGGUAAAGAAUCCCACUCAGGCUUCCAAACGCUAUAAGUGGCUGGGCCAUAAGUCUCGGUGAGUCCAUACAGAUGAGCAACUUCAAAGCCUAACUCUUCCAUCUUGGACAAUAUCUGAGGUGGAGGAGGUGAUCCUCCUGUAAGAAUCCUCACCUUGUUCGAUAAGGUCCUACGAUCACCUACAGGGGAGUUCACAAUCAUGUUCAGAACAGUAGGAGCUGCACCCAUGUGAGUCACAUUGUGGUUUACAAUGCUGUCAAAUAUGGCCUUUGGGGUGACCUUUCGAAGGCAAAUAUUCGUGCCCCCUUGAGCUGCCACACCCCAAGGAAGACACCACCCGUUGCAGUGGAACAUGGGGACGGUCCAAAGGUAAGUUGGCAUGGAACUCAU
Molecule: RNA transcript, 3343 nt
Organism: Beta vulgaris subsp. vulgaris (sugar beet)
Lineage: Eukaryota; Viridiplantae; Streptophyta; Magnoliopsida; Caryophyllales; Amaranthaceae
Gene name: protein STRICTOSIDINE SYNTHASE-LIKE 7
Exons: 6
Source: RefSeq, a predicted model, not a curated record